This 7125-nucleotide long non-coding RNA is filed under the name Olea europaea (common olive). Its description in RNAcentral is "long non-coding RNA (OEUR_LNC002707)". Lineage: Eukaryota; Viridiplantae; Streptophyta; Magnoliopsida; Lamiales; Oleaceae. The record is from RNAcentral.
AUUUUCAUAGUCCAUGAUGGGAAGUUUGUACUUCUGAACCCUUUAAUUGUUAUGCUCUUUAAAUUCGGGUGAGGUUGGAGGCCUUCGAGGACACUUUUAUCGUUGUUGCCUUCCAAAAAACUCUCAUCGUUGUUGUUGCCUUCCAAGAGAUUCUCAUCAUUGUUUGUUGUCCACAUAAAACCUAACUUAUAUAUCUUUGGCUUUCCAACCAAAUCUGCCUUCUUAGCUUCUUCUAUGCCGUUUACUAGUUCAAGAUUGUGUAUAUCCAGUUUGCCUGUAAGAUUCUGUAGAAAUUGGGUUGCUGCCAUUUGUGAAGCCCAAUCCAACAGCCCAUGACCCGGUUAAAUGGCCCAACUGGUAGAAUUAUCUGGAAGCUUAAUUACACAAAUGAAAAACGCGCUUUCUGUUUGAGAAAAUCGACUCUCACAUGAUUGUGACACCUGGCAGCCGCUGGACCAUUGGAUCAAAUGAAUUGAUUAUUUCAUAUAAAAGGGAUCAACAAUUCUAGGGUUAGGGUUGGUUCUCAUUUUACGCAGCUUUCGUUUUCUUUUCAUUUUGAGUUGAAAAAUCUCUCUCUGUAUUUGUUGGCUCUCUGGUCUUGAAUCUCGUUGAUUCUUUUAGUUGGUUGAGAGUAGAUGUGGUGCUAUGAAUUCUUGUGUGAGUUCUUUUGUAUUGUAGAGGAGAUUGUUGUCGUGGUGACAGGAACUGUGUGUUCCUUCUGUGAUUCGAAAACUGCUGUAAUUUUUGGCCGGUGUGUUUUGUUCUAGUGGAUUCGAACUUAUUCCUUCGUGGAUGCUCAACGGGGAUUAGGCGAUUUUAACAAAUCGCUGAACCUUGGGGCUUCGGCCAAAAAUCGCUUGUGUUUCUCUUUACUGUUUUUCAGAUCUACAAAUCUUGAUCUUUAGUCUUGCGAUUUUUGAUGCUUUGAAACGGUUCUAGGGUUCCUACAGUGGUAUCAGAGCUCAGAGUAUUUUUUACUUUAGCUAUUUUUUUGGGUUCCCGUUUAGUCGAGGGUCUGAAAUCAACUCACCAGCCGAAAAGAAAAAUAGGCAGAUUCUUUUUCAAGAUCUGCCAACAUUAAAUUUUUUUAAAAAAAAUUUCUUUUCUUUGAGUAACACUGAAACAAUUUUUGAAAGGGCACUGCAAGUGUGGAUGUCGUUUUCUCUUUGAGAUACUCUAGUGUUCUUGUUGACUGUUGUAUUUCCUUUACUUCGCUCGAUAUUGAACUUCGUAUACAAUUGUGUAUUUGUAAAUGAUGCGGUAUAGUGAUAAUUUUUGGGUAUACUAUAAGCCGUAACUAACCUAUUCUUGGUGAAAUUAAAGACUUUACUUGUCUGGUUUUUUGUGGUACCUGCAGUCUGCAGACACUGAAUUUUGUGAUCAAAUUAGUUUUGUAGUGAAUAGUUGGUACACUUAUUUUUGGGAAGUAUUACUUUGGUAAUAAAACCAUUUUUUUUUAAACAAGAGAUUCUCUCAACCUCCUCUAGCUCUACCUCUGUCUAGGGUUCCCUGAGAGAACUCUAAAAACUUUGGGGACUAGGAUUUCGGUUCAAGAAAUCUGAAAUCUUCAAAAACUGCUUUCUUAAAAUCUCACUGUGAGUUGAAAUUAAAUCAAAAUCAUAUUUUUGAUUGAUAAAUUGUUGUACAAUCUAUGUGAAUUGUGCUAACACUCAAUUUGAUCUUCUCAGGUGUUAAUCUGUCAAAUUUUAAUGCUUCAAAGGUACAUACACUGCACUUACAAUUUUUGAUAACUUACUGUGUGUAAGUUUAUGAAAUUAAGUUCAUAGCAUGCUUACUGUAUUAUUGAAUAUCUGAAUGCGUCUUACUUUGGUUGCAAUAAUUCUGUACACAUCACAAUAAAGCACAGUCCACAUAUAAUCUGAAAUUGGAAUAAUAGGACAGUGAACUUUGUGACACACUGUUGACUAAAUAAUCAUUGAGAUAUAUCUGUUUUAUCAUAACUUGUGAACAAUUUCACAACCCUGCACAAUAUGAACUCUAAGGUAGAUGUCCAAAUGUGGGAUGGCAAAGGAGACUUUAGUCUCUGGCGUCAAAAAAUUAAAGCACUAUUAUUACAGUUAAAAUGUGCUAAGGCUAUUGAUGAAUCUUGGCCAGAAACCUUAUCUGAAGCUAGGAAAACUGAGCAAGAUGAAUUAGCUUGGAGCACUCUGUUCCUAUACCUGUCUGAUACUGUAAUUAGGAAAGUAGGAGAAACUAAAACUGCUGAAGAAUUAUGGACUGCCUUAGAAAAACACUACCUUACAAAGACUGUGCCAAAUAAACGUUUUCUUUGGAGACAGUUUUUUAGUUUUAAGUUUGAUCCUAACCUUGAUACUGGAGAUAAUAGGGAUAUGUUUAAUAGGAUCACACAGGACUUAGCAAACUGUGAUGAGAAGAUUUCUGAUGAACAAAAGGUAGUUGGCCUACUUAAUGCUCUAGGAGAUAAAUAUAAAGAUAUUAGAAAUACUCUAGAGUAUGGUAGGAGUGAUCUCACUGUUGAAAUAAUUCACAGUUCUCUUUUGAAUAAAGAACUUGAAUUAAAAUCUGAACACAAAGAAGUGUACCAUGUUGAGGGUAUGUCAUCAAAUCAAAAACCAUAUCCUAAAGGAGUAAGUAACUUCAGUCAUUCCAAUUUUAAUAGAAAUAAAACCUUUAACAAAAGGCAGUGGAAUAAUACCAAAGGAAAAGGCAAGAAACCAAUCAAAGGAAAACAAAACAGCAACAAUAACAAUAACAGAAAAUGCUUUUAUUGUGGAAAGACAGGCCACUUUAUUAAAGACUGUUUUAAAAGGGCAAAUGACCAAAAGAAUGGGUCUAACAUUGAAAAUGCUUCUUUAGCUGCUGCUGCUAAUUAUAAAGAAGCAGGAGCUAAUAUUGGAGUAGCCUAUGUAUCUUUAUCUGAAGAUACUGAUUAGGACUGGGUCCUGGAUUCAGGGUGUUCCUUUCAUAUGACACCCAAUAUUAACUGCAUUUCAGAUUUUUGCAGUCUGGAUGGAGGAUUUGUAAAACUUAGGAAUGAUGAGUCAUGCCAAGUUAAGGGAAUUGGAAAUGUGCUGUUGAAAUUUAAAAAUGGUCAUCACAUGUUAUUAAAGCAUACAAGAUAUGUACCAGCACUUAGAAGAAAUCUCAUAUCCCUAGGAGUUCUUGAUGAUGAAAAUUAUCAAAUUGGUAUUAAAAAUGGUUUUACAAAUAUAAUAAGAAAUCAAGAACACAUUAUCAGUUCUCCUAAGUUUAAUGGAAUCUAUGUAAUAGGUGUUGAAACCAUUUCACCAAAAAAUUCUGUGAACUCUAUCACACAACCCGAUAAAUCAAAACUGUGGCAUAAAAGACUUGGCCACUUAAGUGAAAAAGGUUUAAAAACAUUAUCAUGUCAAGGUGCAUUUGGAAAAGACAGUGUUCAGAAAUUGACCUUCUGUGAACACUGUAUCUUGGGAAAACAUGUAAGACUGUCUUUUAAGGCAGGACUGCACAAAUCCCAAGAUGUCCUUGAAUACAUACAUUCUGAUUUAUGGGGACCAGCACCUGUUUCUACUGUAUCUGGUUACAGAUAUUAUCUUCUUACAACCGAUGACUAUUCAAGAAAGACAUGAAUUUUCUUAUUAAAAUCCAAAUCUGAUACUUUUGCAAUUUUUAAAGAAUGGAGUGUUCUAAUUAAAAAUCAGACCGGUAAGAAGAUAAAAAUUUUAAGAACUGAUAAUGGCCUUUAAUUCUGCAGAAUUUGACCAAUAUUGCAAUAAACAAGGGAUAAUGAGAUAUAAGACUGUGAGCUAUACUCCACAACAGAAUGGAGUUGCUGAGAGGCUUAAUAGGACAAUUUUGAAAGGACCAGAUGUAUGCUAAUCAGUUCUGGCCUUCCAAAAAUUUUCUGGGGUGAAGCUGUAAAAACAGCAUGUUAUCUUAUAAAUAAAUGCCCUUCCAGCUCUCUAAAUAACAGAAUUCCUCAACAAAUCUAGUCUGGUUCAAUGCCAAAUUACUCUAAUCUACGAACUUUUGGAUGUGCAGCCUGUGCACAUCACACUGAGAAAAAUUGGACCCUAGAUCAUUGAAGGGUGUGUUCUUAGGAUAUGGAGAAGGUGUUAAAGGCUAUAGAUUGUGGUUAAGAGAUGUAAGGGGUUAUAAGGUGAUAACAAGCAGAUCUGUUAUCUUUAAUGAAGAUGAUUUCCCUUGUCUUAAUGACAAAUCUAGUGAGAAAUUGGGAAAGGAUGACUUCAUUAUUACAGAAAUUAAUUUUGAUAACCACAAUACUGAUGACCAGGCUCAGCUUGAGGUGGAGCCACAUCAGGUUGUACCCCAAAAUAACUUUGAUGCUGAAAUAAUUGAAGAUGAACAGCAUUUGGAGUCUGCACAUGAUCUGUAGGGCUACCAACUUGCUAGGGACAGAGAAAGGAGGGAAAUAAGACCUCCAAAUAGGUAUCAACAUGCUGAUUUCGUAUCAGAUCAAACUGAAUCAGAUCAGUUUGACUUAGAACCAGUCUCUUAUGAAGAGGCUAUAUCUUCCAAAGAAUCCCCUAAGUGGAUUGCUGCAAUGGAAGAUGAAAUGAACUCACUCUUUAAGAAUGAAACCUGGACUUUAGUUGAAAAAUCCAAAGAUUGUAAGUUGAUUGACUGUAAAUGGGUUUAUAAGAUUAAAGAGGGUGAGACAAAGGUUAGUGAUAAGAGGUUUAAAGCAAGACUUGUAGCUAAAGGUUUUAAUCAGAGAGAAGGGAUAGAUUACAAUGAAAUUUUUUCACCGGUUGUUAAAUAUACAUCCAUUAGAGUCCUACUUGCUAUAGUGACACAAUUUGAUUUGGAAUUAGAACAACUUGAUGUGAAAACUGCCUUCCUGUAUGGUUCUUUAGAUGAAACCAUACAUAUGACUCAACCAAAAGGGUUUGAAGUGGUAGGAAAGGGAAACUUAGUGUGUCUCUUAAAGAAAUCCUUAUAUGGCCUAAAACAGGCCCCUAGGCAGUGGUAUAAAAGAUUUGACUCUUUUAUACAAGGCUUGAACUUUAGGAAAUCAGAAUAUGAUCCCUGUUUCUAUUAUAAGAAAGAACGGGAAUCUGAUUUUUUCUAUCUGCUUUUGUAUGUUGAUGAUAUGCUCCUUGCUGGUCACAAUUCUGUUGCACUAAACUCAAUUAAAGAAAAUUUGAAAUCUGAAUUUGAGAUGAAAGAUUUAGGACCAGCUAGAAAGAUUUUGGGCAUGGAAAUAAAAAGAGAUAGGAUAAAUGGAAAGUUGUUUCUAACACAAAAAUCGUAUAUUGAUAAGGUUGUAAAAAGGUUCUCCCUUCAUGAGUCUAAGCCUGUAAGUUUGCCUCUAUCUGCUGGUAUGAAACUAUCUGUUGAUCAAUCGCCUAAAACUGAAGAAGAGCAUAAGAGAAUGAUAAAUGUGCCUUAUUCUAAUGCUGUUGGAUCUGUAAUGUAUGUUAUGGUUUGCUCUAGACCUGAUAUUGCUUAUGCCGUGAGCGUGUUAAGUGGAUUCAUGAGUAACCCAGGUGAAAUACAUUGGCAAUGCAUGAAAAAUCUAAUUAAGUACUUGAAAGGAACAAGUAACUUAGGUCUAAUGUUCAAAACAAAUAAAAAUGGACUUAGACUUAAGGGAUAUGUAGAUUCAGAUUUUGCUGGUAAUCCAGACAAUAGGAAGUCCACAACUGCAUACUUAUAUGUGAUAAAUGAUACAUGCAUUAGCUGGAAAUCUCAGCUUCAAAAACUUGUUGCAUUGUCCUCAACCGAGGCUGAAUAUAUUGCUGCAAUGGAAGCUGUGAAAGAGAGUUUGUGGCUGAAGGGUUUGCUUAAUGAAUUAGGUCUUAUAGAAAAUCAGGUGGAGUUAUGUUCAGACAACCAAAGUGCUAUUUUUUUAAGUAAAAAUCCUAUCCUGCAUGAUAGAUCAAAGCAUAUAGAUGUAAAGUUUCAUUUUAUUAGAGAUAUCAUUGAUAGGNNNNNNNNNNNNNNNNNNNNNNNNNNNNNNNNNNNNNNNNNNNNNNNNNNNNNNNNNNNNNNNNNNNNNNNNNNNNNNNNNNNNNNNNNNNNNNNNNNNNNNNNNNNNNNNNNNNNNNNNNNNNNNNNNNNNNNNNNNNNNNNNNNNNNNNNNNNNNNNNNNNNNNNNNNNNNNNNNNNNNNNNNNNNNNNNNNNNNNNNNNNNNNNNNNNNNNNNNNNNNNNNNNNNNNNNNNNNNNNNNNNNNNNNNNNNNNNUGUAGAAAUUGGGUUGCUGCCAUUUGUGAAGCCCAAUCCAACAGCCCAUGACCCGGUUAAAUGGCCCAACUGGUAGAAUUAUCUGGAAGCUUAAUUACACAAAUGAAAAACGCGCUUUCUGUUUGAGAAAAUCGACUCUCACAUGAUUGUGACACCUGGCAGUCACUGGACCAUUGGAUCAAAUGAAUUGAUUAUUUCAUAUAAAAGGGAUCAACAAUUCUAAGGUUAGGGUUGGCUCUCAUUUUAUGCAGCUUUCGUUUUCUUUUCAUUUUGAGUUGAAAAAUCUCUCUCUGUAUUUGUUGGCUCUCUGGUCUUGAAUCUGGUUGAUUCAUUUAGUUGGUUGAGAGUAGAUGUGGUGCUACGAACUCUUGUGUGAGUUCUUUUGUAUUGUAGAGGAGAUUAUUGUCGUGGUGACUGGAACUGUGUGUUCCUUCUGUGAUUCGAAAACUGCUGUAAUUUUUGGCUGGUGUGUUUUGUUCUAGUGGAUUCGAUCUUAUUCCUUCGUGGAUGCUCAACGGGGAUUAGGCGAUUUUAACAAAUCACUGAAACUCAGGGCUUCGACCAAAAAUCGCUUGUGUUUCUCUUUACUGUUUUCAGAUCUACAAAUCUUGAUCUUUAGUCUUGCGAUUUUUGAUGCUUUGAAAUGGUUCUAGGGUUCCUACAGAUUCUUCAAAGAUCCUAGCUCUUUGAUUUGUCUGCCUUCCUUGCCACCAACUCUAAAAUACAUUAAUGUUUGAAGAUCAGACAACUUUCUGAUUUCAGGCGGCAUCUGGAGAUCUCUAUUAAUAGAAUAAAAGUAGAGAUGUCUCAAAUUACUCAAGUCAGAUAGCCUUUCUGGAAGCAGAUGAAGGUUCCGGCAUUUCAAAAUCCUUAAUGUUUGUAAAUUGUAGAGCUUGCAAAUCGAAUCUGGUAAAGUUUCCAUUUUAUAAUUUUCAGAUGCAUCAAGAUAUCUCAAA